This 613-nucleotide ribosomal RNA is filed under the name Lodderomyces parapsilosis. RNAcentral describes it as "eukaryotic LSU rRNA". The stretch from base 270 to 423 matches the Rfam family "5.8S ribosomal RNA". Lineage: Eukaryota; Fungi; Ascomycota; Pichiomycetes; Serinales; Debaryomycetaceae. The record is from RNAcentral.
AAGGCCUACCAAAGCAAAGUUUUCAAAAAAAGAAAAACACAUGUGUAAGAAAAAAUGCAGUUAAGCACUUUUCAUUCUGUAAUGAUCCUUCCGUAGGUGAACCUGCGGAAGGAUCAUUACAGAAUGAAAAGUGCUUAACUGCAUUUUUUCUUACACAUGUGUUUUUCUUUUUUUGAAAACUUUGCUUUGGUAGGCCUUCUAUAUGGGGCCUGCCAGAGAUUAAACUCAACCAAAUUUUAUUUAAUGUCAACCGAUUAUUUAAUAGUCAAAACUUUCAACAACGGAUCUCUUGGUUCUCGCAUCGAUGAAGAACGCAGCGAAAUGCGAUAAGUAAUAUGAAUUGCAGAUAUUCGUGAAUCAUCGAAUCUUUGAACGCACAUUGCGCCCUUUGGUAUUCCAAAGGGCAUGCCUGUUUGAGCGUCAUUUCUCCCUCAAACCCUCGGGUUUGGUGUUGAGCGAUACGCUGGGUUUGCUUGAAAGAAAGGCGGAGUAUAAACUAAUGGAUAGGUUUUUUCCACUCAUUGGUACAAACUCCAAAACUUCUUCCAAAUUCGACCUCAAAUCAGGUAGGACUACCCGCUGAACUUAAGCAUAUCAAUAAGACGGAGGAAAA